GACGAACGCUGGCGGCGCGCUUAACACAUGCAAGUCGAGCGAGAACCAGCCCUUCGGGGCUGGGGAGAGCGGCGAACGGGUGAGUAACACGUGGGUAAUCAACCCUCGGUACUGGGAUAGCCCGGGGAAACCCGGAUUAAUACCGGAUGGCCCUUCGAAUCCCCGGAUCUGAAGGAAAAGGUCGCUUCGGCCUCCGACCGAGGACGAGCCCGCGGCGGAUUAGCUUGUUGGUGGGGUAACGGCCUACCAAGGCGACGAUCGGUAGCUGGUCUGAGAGGACGAUCAGCCACACUGGGACUGAGACACGGCCCAGACUUCUACGGAAGGCAGCAGUGGGGAAUCUUGCGCUAAUGCGGGAAACCGUGACGCAGCGACGCCGCGUGGGGGAAGAAGGCCUUCGGGUUGUAAACCUCUUUCAGGAGGGACGAAGCUACUCGGGUUAAUAGCCCAGAGGGUGACGGUACCUCCAGAAGAAGCCCCGGCUAACUACGUGCCAGCCGCCGCGGUAA
Molecule: ribosomal RNA, 509 nt
Filed under: uncultured bacterium
Lineage: Bacteria
Description: partial 16S ribosomal RNA
Rfam family: Bacterial small subunit ribosomal RNA
Source: RNAcentral